Molecule: long non-coding RNA, 585 nt
Filed under: Gallus gallus (chicken)
Lineage: Eukaryota; Metazoa; Chordata; Aves; Galliformes; Phasianidae
Source: RNAcentral
CUGCUCUCAACUGUGGAUAAAGGCCAGGUGAGUGGGAUUCCCAGCAGCAAGGGGUUAAUGGUUGAGAAGCUAAACCUCCUAGAGAAGUAAAUCUGUCUGCUGUAGAAAGUUUUGUCAGAACUUCUGGCUUCGCCUCUGCUCUGAGCCUCCUCUGGUCACGUGUUAAGAUAUUAGAGAACACCUGAAUCAAAGGGAAUCUAGCUGAACAACAGAUGCAAGAGCAACAGCUGUUUAAGUGAAAUUCUCAGCCAACUGUGUUGGGUGCCUGCAGAACCCUUCCUAAUGAGCUGCGCAGUGAUGCACUACGGGAUACAGAGAGGAAGUGAUCCAUGGGAGGGUAUUUCACGAGAAGGAGUCUAAGGUAAGAAAGAUAUGGAAGACUACUGUUCUGAUGUGCAUAAGCUAACUCAUAAAAGGGAGUGCCAGGAGGAAAGAAAGAAGUGGAAUCGAGCAGUGAUGGAACCACAGGAAAAUAGAUCUUUUCAGCUAACUAUAUUUCACGUAUAAUUUGGGAAGAAUGAAAAGUAAAUAGUGGUACUUAAUUUUGAAAGUAUUAAAGAACCUGAGAAAAGAAACAGAGACAGG